Molecule: ribosomal RNA, 469 nt
Filed under: Streptococcus mitis
Lineage: Bacteria; Bacillati; Bacillota; Bacilli; Lactobacillales; Streptococcaceae
Description: bacterial SSU rRNA
Rfam family: Bacterial small subunit ribosomal RNA
Source: RNAcentral
GACGAACGCCGGCGGCGUGCCUAAUACAUGCAAGUAGAACGCUGAAGGAGGAGCUUGCUUCUCUGGAUGAGUUGCGAACGGGUGAGUAACGCGUAGGUAACCUGCCUGGUAGUGGGGGAUAACUAUUGGAAACGAUAGCUAAUACCGCAUAAUAGUAGAUGUUGCAUGACAUUUGCUUAAAAGGUGCAAUUGCAUCACUACCAGAUGGACCUGCGUUGUAUUAGCUAGUUGGUGGGGUAACGGCUCACCAAGGCGACGAUACAUAGCCGACCUGAGAGGGUGAUCGGCCACACUGGGACUGAGACACGGCCCAGACUCCUACGGGAGGCAGCAGUAGGGAAUCUUCGGCAAUGGACGGAAGUCUGACCGAGCAACGCCGCGUGAGUGAAGAAGGUUUUCGGAUCGUAAAGCUCUGUUGUAAGAGAAGAACGAGUGUGAGAAGUGGAAAGUUUCACAACUGUGACGGUAU